AAUGAACGCUGGCGGCGUGCCUAACACAUGCAAGUCGAGCGAGAAAGGUCUUCGGACUGAGUAAAGCGGCGAACGGGUGAGUAACGCGUAGGAAUCUGCCUUUUAGUGGAGAAUACCCUCGAGAAAUCGAGGUUAAUACUGCAUACGUCUUGAAAAAGAGAAAGAUGGCCUCUUUGCUGUCGCUAAAAGAUGAGCCUGCGUACUAUUAGCUAGUUGGUAGGGUAAAGGCCUACCAAGGCGAUGAUGGUUAACCGGCCUGAGAGGGUGUACGGUCACA
Molecule: ribosomal RNA, 277 nt
Filed under: uncultured bacterium
Lineage: Bacteria
Description: partial 16S ribosomal RNA
Rfam family: Bacterial small subunit ribosomal RNA
Source: RNAcentral